UGUGCCAGCAGCCGCGGUAAUACGAAGGGGGCUAGCGUUGCUCGGAAUGACUGGGCGUAAGGGGCGCGUAGGCGGCCUACACAGUCAGAUGUGAAAUUCCUGGGCUCAACCUGGGGACUGCAUUUGAUACGUGGCGGCUUGAGUGGAGAAGAGGGUUGUGGAAUUUCCAGUGUAGAGGUGAAAUUCGUAGAUAUUGGAAAGAACACCGGUGGCGAAGGCGGCGACCUGGUCUUUUACUGACGCUGAAGCGCGAAAGCGUGGGGAGCAAACAGGAUUAGAUACCCUGGUAGUCCACGCUGUAAACGAUGUGUGCUGGAUGUUGGGGAACUUAGUUUCUCAGUGUCGUAGCUAACGCGAUAAGCACACCGCCUAGGGAGUACGGCCGCAAGGUUGAAACUCAAAGAAAUUGACGGGA
Molecule: ribosomal RNA, 415 nt
Filed under: uncultured bacterium
Lineage: Bacteria
Description: bacterial SSU rRNA
Rfam family: Bacterial small subunit ribosomal RNA
Source: RNAcentral